RNAcentral lists this non-coding RNA (30 nucleotides) under Mus musculus (house mouse). The record is from RNAcentral. Lineage: Eukaryota; Metazoa; Chordata; Mammalia; Rodentia; Muridae.
UGAAUUCGGGUGUAUAAAAUGGAUGCCAUA